Molecule: ribosomal RNA, 417 nt
Filed under: uncultured Gammaproteobacteria bacterium
Lineage: Bacteria; Pseudomonadati; Pseudomonadota; Gammaproteobacteria
Description: bacterial SSU rRNA
Rfam family: Bacterial small subunit ribosomal RNA
Source: RNAcentral
AAUGGGCGAAAGCCUGACGCAGCCAUGCCGCGUGUGUGAAGAAGGCCUUCGGGUUGUAAAGCACUUUCAAUUGGGAGGAAAGGUUCGUAGUUAAUAACUGCGAGCUGUGACGUUACCUUUAGAAGAAGCACCGGCUAACUCCGUGCCAGCAGCCGCGGUAAUACGGAGGGUGCGAGCGUUAAUCGGAAUUACUGGGCGUAAAGCGCGCGUAGGCGGUUUGUUAAGUCGGAUGUGAAAGCCCCGGGCUCAACCUGGGAAUUGCACCCGAUACUGGCCGACUGGAGUGCGAGAGAGGGAGGUAGAAUUCCACGUGUAGCGGUGAAAUGCGUAGAUAUGUGGAGGAAUACCGGUGGCGAAGGCGGCCUCCUGGCUCGACACUGACGCUGAGGUGCGAAAGCGUGGGGAGCAAACAGGAUU